AGUGAACGCUGGCGGUAGGCCUAACACAUGCAAGUCGAACGGCAGCACAGUAAGAGCUUGCUCUUACGGGUGGCGAGUGGCGGACGGGUGAGGAAUACAUCGGAAUCUACUUUUUCGUGGGGGAUAACGUAGGGAAACUUACGCUAAUACAGCAUACGACCUACGGGUGAAAGCAGGGGAUCUUCGGACCUUGCGCGAUUGAAUGAGCCGAUGUCGGAUUAGCUAGUUGGCGGGGUAAAGGCCCACCAAGGCGACGAUCCGUAGCUGGUCUGAGUGGAUGAUCAGCCACACUGGAGCUGAGACACGGUCCAGACUCCUACGGGAGGCAGCAGUGGGGAAUAUUGGACAAUGGGCGCAAGCCUGAUCCAGCCAUACCGCGUGGGUGAAGAAGGCCUUCGGGUUGUAAAGCCCUUUUGUUGGGAAAGAAAGGCAGCAGGUUAAUACCCCGCUGUUCUGACGGUACCCAAAGAAUAAGCACCGGCUAACUUCGUG
RNAcentral lists this ribosomal RNA (492 nucleotides) under uncultured bacterium. RNAcentral describes it as "partial 16S ribosomal RNA". It matches the Rfam family "Bacterial small subunit ribosomal RNA", at positions 29 to 507 of the family's 1533-position model. The record is from RNAcentral.